RNAcentral lists this ribosomal RNA (468 nucleotides) under uncultured bacterium. RNAcentral describes it as "partial 16S ribosomal RNA". It matches the Rfam family "Bacterial small subunit ribosomal RNA", at positions 28 to 507 of the family's 1533-position model. The record is from RNAcentral.
GACGAACGCUGGCGGCGUGCUUAACACAUGCAAGUCGAACGGAAAGGCCCUGCUUUUGUGGGGUGCUCGAGUGGCGAACGGGUGAGUAACACGUGAGUAACCUGCCCUUGACUUUGGGAUAACUUCAGGAAACUGGGGCUAAUACCGGAUAGGAGCUCCUGCUGCAUGGUGGGGGUUGGAAAGUUUCGGCGGUUGGGGAUGGACUCGCGGCUUAUCAGCUUGUUGGUGGGGUAGUGGCUUACCAAGGCUUUGACGGGUAGCCGGCCGGAGAGGGUGACCGGCCAGGUGGGGAAGAGGAUACGGCCCGAACUCCGGGGGGGGGAAGGGGUGGGGAAUUGGGAACAAUGGGGGGAGGCUUGAAGCAGCAACGCCGCGGGGGGGAGGGCGGCCUUGGGUUUGUAAACCGUUUGCCCCUGUGAAGAAGGGGGAGUGAGGUUAAGGGAAAAAGAGGCACGGCCUAAGUAGGUC